UCUAGAAGAUCCUGAUGGUGACACCUAACAACCACAACACAUCUCGGACUACUACCAUGUCAAUCUCAAGAAUGUGAUGAUAACAUGACCAUUCAAAUUGGUGAAGUACUUCAGAUGCAAAUUGAGGUUCAGAGAUAGUUAAAUGAACAACUUGAGAAAUGGUCAUUUGUUAAAUCUGAGCAUAAAAGAUCGGAAAUCCAAGGGCUUAUGGAAUUGGUAUUGCAAAGAUCUUCAUGUGAUUCGGAUCCUUAUAAGGAGAGAUAAUUUAUAUACAUGAGGGAGCCACCUAUUGAUUCUUUUGAUGUCUCUACAUGUGGUAAUAGUUUCAUCUGAGAUUGUCUCUACCUACUAUAUAUGCAGCUUGUUUACUAAAAAAGUUCUAUUUCUUAAACUGCUAACUACUUGAUUCUUUACUGCUAGGCCUUGAUUUGCUGGAUGACAUCUUGUUGGGUUAUAAAGUUGAAUGGCCAAUGAAUAUUGGCAUUACUGUAGACGCACUGAAAAUACAUGCUAAAAUAUUAUGAAUGUUCUUUACCGCAGUUGCUGCGGAGGAAGCCGACAGCGCGGCUAUGGUCGCUGAGAAGAAGGUUGUCGCGUCUGUGUAGCUUGUCGCCGUUGCUGCGCACAAGGCGGGCUGCGCCGUGGAUGCUGUCUGUUUGUAUUACUUUUCGUUGGUUGCAUUAAGUGUUGUACUGUGUGUUUGGUAAUGCAGUUACUUUUGUAUUCAGUGAACUGUUUGGUAAUGCGAUUCCUUUUGUAUUUA
Zea mays is the source of this 763-nucleotide long non-coding RNA. RefSeq lists it as uncharacterized. NCBI's taxonomy places the organism in Eukaryota, Viridiplantae, Streptophyta, Magnoliopsida, Poales, Poaceae. The transcript has 2 exons. The record is from RefSeq and is a predicted model, not a curated record.